GACGAACGCUGGCGGCGUGCCUAAUACAUGCAAGUCGAGCGGACUGAAUGGGAGCUUGCUCUUGUUCGGUCAGCGGCGGACGGGUGAGUAACACGUGGGCAACCUGCCCGCAAGACCGGGAUAACUCCGGGAAACCGGAGCUAAUACCGGAUAACACCGAAGACCGCAUGGUCUUUGGUUGAAAGGCGGCGCAAGCUGCCACUUGCGGAUGGGCCCGCGGCGCAUUAGCUAGUUGGUGAGGUAACGGCUCACCAAGGCGACGAUGCGUAGCCGGCCUGAGAGGGUGACCGGCCACACUGGGACUGAGACACGGCCCAGACUCCUACGGGAGGCAGCAGUAGGGAAUCUUCCGCAAUGGGCGAAAGCCUGACGGAGCGACGCCGCGUGGGCGAAGAAGGCCUUCGGGUCGUAAAGCUCUGUUGUGAGGGACGAAGGAGCGCCGUUUGAAGAAGGCGGCGCGGUGACGGUACCUCACGAGGAAGCCCCGGCUAACUACGUG
RNAcentral lists this ribosomal RNA (499 nucleotides) under uncultured bacterium. RNAcentral describes it as "partial 16S ribosomal RNA". It matches the Rfam family "Bacterial small subunit ribosomal RNA", at positions 28 to 507 of the family's 1533-position model. The record is from RNAcentral.